RNAcentral lists this unclassified non-coding RNA (180 nucleotides) under Glomus indicum. Its description in RNAcentral is "partial internal transcribed spacer region". The stretch from base 1 to 46 matches the Rfam family "Eukaryotic small subunit ribosomal RNA", at positions 1786 to 1831 of the family's 1831-position model. Lineage: Eukaryota; Fungi; Glomeromycota; Glomeromycetes; Glomerales; Glomeraceae. The record is from RNAcentral. RNAcentral also lists the same sequence under 1 other name.
AAGUCGUAACAAGGUUUCCGUAGGUGAACCUGCGGAAGGAUCAUUACCAAUAUAGCGAACCGAGCGUUAGCGAGGCUUCGCGAUCAAAUUUGUAUUUAAAACCCAACUCUUUAAAUGUAUAUUAUUAUUGUAUUUUAAAUAAUAAAAAGAUCACUUUCAACAACGGAUCUCUUGGCUCUC